Molecule: non-coding RNA, 488 nt
Organism: Castor canadensis (American beaver)
Lineage: Eukaryota; Metazoa; Chordata; Mammalia; Rodentia; Castoridae
Source: the annotation of a RefSeq genome assembly
GGGAGAGGAGCCCAGUCCUGAAUUUCACCUGACCCCAUUCAGUGAUCAGCACUGAACACAGACCACUCACCAUGGAGUUGGGGCUGAGCUGGAUUUUCCUUGUUGCUAUUUUUAAAGGUGUUCAGUGUGAGGUGCAGCUGGUUGAAUCUGGGGGAGGCUUGGUGCAGCCUGGAGGGGCUCUGAAACUCUCGUGUGCAGCCUCUGGAUUCACCUUCAGUAGCUACUGGAUGAUCUGGGUCCGUCAGGCUCCAGGAAAGGGGCUGGAGUGGAUUGCAGCAAUUAACAAUGGUGGUGGUAGUACAUACUACACAGACUCUGUGAAGGGCCGAUUCACCAUCUCCAGAGACAAUAACAAGAACGAGCUGUAUCUGCAAAUGAACAGCCUGAGAGCCGAGGACACAGCCGUGUAUUUCUGUGCAAGAGACACAGUGAGGAGAUUUCAAUGUGAGCCCAGACAUAAACCUCCCUGCAGUGCUAUUCGUGACUAG